UAGGGAGUGGGAGAGGCAGACGGUAUUCAGUGGGUAGGGGUAAAAUCUUCUGAUCCAUUGAGGACCACCAGUGGCGAAGGCGGUCUGCCAGAACACGUUCGACGGUGAGGGAUGAAAGCUGGGGGAGCAAACCGGAUUAGAUACCCGGGUAGUCCCAGCUGUAAACGAUGCAAACUCGGUGAUGCAUUGGCUUAUUGCCAAUGCAGUGCCGCAGGGAAGCCGUUAAGUUUGCCGCCUGGGAAGUACGGACGCAAGUCUGAAACUUAAAGGAAUUGGCGGGGGAGCACCACAAGGGGUGAAGCCUGCGGUUCAAUUGGAGUCAACGCCGGG
RNAcentral lists this ribosomal RNA (330 nucleotides) under uncultured archaeon. RNAcentral describes it as "bacterial SSU rRNA". It matches the Rfam family "Archaeal small subunit ribosomal RNA", at positions 593 to 922 of the family's 1478-position model. The record is from RNAcentral.